This is a long non-coding RNA of Oreochromis niloticus (Nile tilapia), 2537 nucleotides long. NCBI's taxonomy places the organism in Eukaryota, Metazoa, Chordata, Actinopteri, Cichliformes, Cichlidae. The record is from Ensembl.
AAUGUAAUAAUAUCAACAAUAACAGCAAACAAAAUGUUUCUCUCAUCUCCAUCAUCUCACAGUAUUUUUCCUACAGUUUGUUCUGAUCACUGUUUUAUUCCAUUUGGUGAUGAUGUCCUCACCAUCAGAGAGCUGAAACACACAGUCGUAUAUUCUCCAGCCUUCAGGUGUAACUGAUCAAAACAUUCAGAUCAACACUAAUUUGAAAGAUCUCAUCAUUGUUGGGGAGCAUCUCUCUGUGGUCCACACCAUCAUGAAUCUCCUCUGUGUCUUUCUUCCAGAACAUCUGUCAGGAUAGAAACCUGUAGCGUGGCAGCUGACAGGAGAGGAGGGAGUCUUCUGGAGGAGAGACACUGAGGGAAGAACUGGAGAGAAAGAAGACGUCUCACUGGUGAUUCGGAUCGUCAGACUGAAUCCCGCCGCCGUGGACCAGACUAAAAACACCGGCCUGGACCCGAAUUCACACGUUCCAGGGCUUUCGGCCUCAUCUAAGAGGGCUGUGCACAGACUUCGGUGCUGGCUCCACGGCGUCAGGAAACAGUAUGCCAGAUCCUGGAACAGAGUCACAGAUAACAGUUCUGAUAUUUCUGAAUCCGGCUCGAAGGACCAAAAUAAAUGUCAAGAGAUUUAUUCUAAAUGACACUUCUUCAGCUGAGAGUCUAAGAGUGAAGAGACACACACUGUAGAUCUUUACUUGCAAGGGCGGUCACAGAACGCUCACACCAGAGUGGGGGCCCUGUGAUGCGCGCUCUGUUCUUGCACUUGUCUUUAUUUAUAUGCAAAAAUAAUACAACAGUGAAUACGUCUAUUCAUAGGCAGAGGAAAGUUAGUGCAUAGGGAGUGAAGAUAAGAGUGGUUUAGGUGUAUGUGUGUGUGUUGUGAGAUUCAGAAGGACGCGGCCUCUCUUCUUGUUAGGGAGCGCAGAUAAAAGUGUCCAGCUCUUCCUCUUCCUGCUUGUUCAGCUAUUAUCGCUGUGAGAAAGAAUUUAUAAAACAGUCUUGUAGUGGACAACAGUCUAAGUCAUCAAAAGGUCAUCAUACAGUAUUCUAUCAUAUGCAAACUUAUAUCAUUAAAAGCUUAUACUGACUACUAAGUACAAUUUUCCAUUGACAGCUCCUUAGGGUCAAAUGCAUUUUGAAGGUUAAAAAAUAGAGACAAUAACACAAACUAGUGGGAAAAAAUGCUCUUUGAUGUGGUAGAGAUCAAAGAGAUCGCUUUCACUUUUACUUUAGUUGUUUAUUUAGUCAACAGAUGGACCAUCCUCCUUUAAAAGCAAAGACCUGAAGUAGAAGAAAAUAAUGCCAACAUAUGCAAGGCUGCAUAACUUUUACACAAUAGCUGGCAGCAUAAUAGAUAUGGUCCAUAGACACAUGGAACAAUAAUAAGGGCAAUUUUCCCUUCUUUUUAUAACGUGAGGAUUAUUUUUAUAGUAAAUAUUUAGGGAGGGUAUUGCAGCUGGAUUCACAUGUUUUUGUUUAACCAUCCACAACUAUGGUGGAUCUGCAUAUCUGGUCUCUCUCUCUCAGGUGUCCACUGGAUGAAGGGCUAUAAAUGAGAUGAGUUCAGAUGAACUGAAGAUUUUACAGAACCAAAAAAAAAAAAAUUCCAGCAAACCAAAAAAAUAAAAAAUAAAAGAAUAUAAAGAGAUUUAUAAAACACAAUUGAUAGUGCCAGUCUGAUCUGAAUUAGUUUCAUCAUUUUGGGAGUGUUUUUGGUUAAUAGCCCAUCUCUUCUGGCCAGCAAGAAAAGACCUUGAAAUGACCGCAGCAUGCUAAAAAUCACAACUUGUAACCAGUGUUGUGCAAUAGCUACUGGAGAAAGAUGUUUAAAUUUCUCACUGCUUUGUAAUAUGUAGGAAGAAGCGGAGUCUGUAGGUGUAUGGAUGAAGCCAAGUGAAGUCAUUUAAAGCAGUCAUGAUAAAAAAAAAGUGAAUCCAUGUAAAUCAGUGACAGCCAGAAAUUUAAAAUAUGUGUUUUUAAAUGAAACAUGAAAGAAAAUUUUUUUGACAGUCACCUUUCAAGCAUAUUGUUUAAUCAACGAAGUAAGCUUACUCAUCUGCAUAUCAAGUUGAAGUUUAAAUGUUAUUUGUCACAUACACGGUCAUACAAGUACAACAUGCAGUGAAAUGCUUGUGUCACGGGGGGGGCAAGCCAUUGCUGAAGGUGCGGUAUGAAUAACAAAAAACAAAAAAAAAAAAAAAAAAAAAAGAGUACUUGGACACUGCUAGCAUAAUGGACACAAAAAGAAAAAAAAACUACACAUAAAAUAAUUACACCAUAACGAUGUUUUUUUCUGUUAUUUAGAAGAUGUAGUAGUCUUUUUUAUUGCAACCUGUAAUUUAUUGCAGUUUACUUUUAUUUGUUUAAGUGUUUACAGAAGGUUUUAGGUGUGAAAUAAACUGCAUGGGGUUUGAAAACAAAUAUGUGUGUGUGUGUGUGUGUGUGUUUGGAGGAUGUAAAGAUUUUCUUGUAAGAACCAAGGGAGGCCUAGCAAAGAAACUUUGGGAAACACUUGUUUAGAGGAUAUUCAUUUUUUAA